GGUUGACCUCGGAUCAGGUAGGAGUUACCCGCUGAACUUAAGCAUAUCAAUAAGCGGAGGAAAAGAAACCAACCGGGAUUGCCUCAGUAACGGCGAGUGAAGCGGCAAGAGCUCAAAUUUGAAAUCUGGCCCCUUGGGGUCCGAGUUGUAAUUUGCAGAGGAUGCUUCGGGUGCGGUCCCCAUCUAAGUGCCCUGGAACGGGCCGUCAUAGAGG
This 214-nucleotide ribosomal RNA is filed under the name Talaromyces flavovirens. RNAcentral describes it as "partial 28S ribosomal RNA". It matches the Rfam family "Eukaryotic large subunit ribosomal RNA", at positions 1 to 211 of the family's 3401-position model. The record is from RNAcentral. Lineage: Eukaryota; Fungi; Ascomycota; Eurotiomycetes; Eurotiales; Trichocomaceae.